RNAcentral lists this ribosomal RNA (177 nucleotides) under Triticum aestivum (bread wheat). Its description in RNAcentral is "partial small subunit ribosomal RNA". Lineage: Eukaryota; Viridiplantae; Streptophyta; Magnoliopsida; Poales; Poaceae. The record is from RNAcentral.
CUCCGUGGUGCCCAAAAAUGGGUCUUGAAGGGCGACGCGAAUACGGCAUAUUUCUAGGCUAUCGCCAAUGGCCGCCGUAGACGUAACACCAUCCCCCUCUUAUGGGAUGAUGAGACUCUCCUUCAAGAUCCUCGCGACAUCCGUACCCACGUCGACGGUUUCUAUAGGUCCUUAUUC